AUGCCGGUAGAAAUUACCGUUUUUAUGGGUUUCCCUGUUGCCGUUUCCGAUCUAGAUGACAUCAUAAAACGCCACAAGAAAGAGCAGAGCGAUGCCCAGGCGGCAGGGAACAGGCGGCAGCAGCAGGUGAAGAACAGGAAUUCGGCGUACGGCUACGGGCGGCCCCGCUUCCGCACCUGGAUGCAGAGGAAUUUGCAAGGACCUAACCGCUUCAGAAGAGGCUUUGGGCAACAACAGUACAAUAGAAGGCAAUUCAGGAAUACUGUGCCCGGUCCCAGGAGAAGAGCAGCUGCCGCAUUAAAUGGAGUGAGCCCUCUAAAUCGCCAGGCGUCCGCUCAAGAGGGUCACAAGAGCGACGACGCUUUCGCCAAAAGCGGUAGCAGCGGGCAGCAGCCGGAGGCGCGGAGGCGGCCGCCGCUGGGCCCCAAGGGAUUCGGAGCAGCAGCUGCCGGCACCCACGCCGCGGGGAGAAGCAGGCCUUUCGUGCUGAACAGGGGACCAGGCUUCCAGCAGAAACGGAUGCAGCAGCGCUACUCCAAGGCCAACUUCCAGAGAGGGCAAAUGAAUGCAGUUGGAGACGGGAAACGACCGAGGAUGAGAAGGUGGCAAGUGAAACCCAGCCCCGGAGCAGUCCUGACGGUUUCUGUGGCUAAUCCCCAGGCGAGCCAGAGCAGCGCGGCCGGAGGCAAGCGGCCGUUCCUGCGGAGCCCGAGGCCCCCGCCGCGGGCGGCCAAGCCCCAGCCGAAGGGAGUGCUGCUGCGGUUCAACUUCCGCGCCAUGGCCAACCAGACCAGCCUGACGCUGGAUGAGAGGUUCUCUGGUCUGAGGAAUAAGCGGCGCUUUACAGCGGCGAGGAACGCUGGCCGGACGGUCACCAUGCCUUAG
RNAcentral lists this long non-coding RNA (885 nucleotides) under Apteryx haastii (Great spotted kiwi). Its description in RNAcentral is "lncRNA (ENSAHAG00000017562.1)". Lineage: Eukaryota; Metazoa; Chordata; Aves; Apterygiformes; Apterygidae. The record is from RNAcentral.